Molecule: ribosomal RNA, 497 nt
Filed under: uncultured bacterium
Lineage: Bacteria
Description: partial 16S ribosomal RNA
Rfam family: Bacterial small subunit ribosomal RNA
Source: RNAcentral
GAUGAACGCUGGCGGCGUGCCUAAUACAUGCAAGUCGAGCGAACAGACGAGGAGCUUGCUCCUCUGACGUUAGCGGCGGACGGGUGAGUAACACGUGGAUAGCCUACCUAUAAGACUGGGAUAACUUCGGGAAACCGGAGCUAAUACCGGAUAAUAUAUUGAACCGCAUGGUUCAAUAGUGAAAGACGGUUUUGCUGUCACUUAUAGAUGUAUCCGCGCCGUAUUAGCUAGUUGGUAAGGUAACGGCUUACCAAGGCAACGAUGCGUAGCCGACCUGAGAGGGUGAUCGGCCACACUGGAACUGAGACACGGUCCAGACUCCUACGGGAGGCAGCAGUAGGGAAUCUUCCGCAAAGGGCGAAAGCCUGACGGAGCAACGCCGCGUGAGUGAUGAAGGUCUUCGGAUCGUAAAACUCUGUUAUUAGGGAAGAACAAAUGUGUAAGUAACUAUGCACGUCUUGACGGUACCUAAUCAGAAAGCCACGGCUAACUACGUG